RNAcentral lists this ribosomal RNA (468 nucleotides) under uncultured bacterium. RNAcentral describes it as "partial 16S ribosomal RNA". It matches the Rfam family "Bacterial small subunit ribosomal RNA", at positions 28 to 507 of the family's 1533-position model. The record is from RNAcentral.
GACGAACGCUGGCGGCGUGCUUAACACAUGCAAGUCGAACGGAAAGGCCCUGCUUUUGUGGGGUGCUCGAGUGGCGAACGGGUGAGUAACACGUGAGUAACCUGCCCUUGACUUUGGGAUAACUUCAGGAAACUGGGGCUAAUACCGGAUAGGAGCUACUGCUGCAUGGUGGGGGUUGGAAAGUUUCGGCGGUUGGGGAUGGACUCGCGGCUUAUCAGCUUGUUGGUGGGGUAGUGGCUUACCAAGGCUUUGACGGGUAGCCGGCCUGAGAGGGUGACCGGCCACAUUGGGACUGAGAUACGGCCCAGACUCCUACGGGAGGCAGCAGUGGGGAAUAUUGCACAAUGGGCGGAAGCCUGAUGCAGCAACGCCGCGUGCGGGAUGACGGCCUUCGUGGUGUAAACCGCUUUCGCCUGUGACGAAGCGUGAGUGACGGUAAUGGGUAAAGAAGCACCGGCUAACUACGUG